This 253-nucleotide ribosomal RNA is filed under the name uncultured bacterium. RNAcentral's name for it is "partial 16S ribosomal RNA". It matches the Rfam family "Bacterial small subunit ribosomal RNA", at positions 524 to 776 of the family's 1533-position model. The record is from RNAcentral.
UACGUAGGCAGCAAGCGUUGUUCGGAGUUACUGGGCGUAAAGGGUGUGUAGGCGGUGCUCUAAGUUCGGUGUGAAAUCUCCCGGCUCAACCGGGAGGGUGCGCCGAAUACUGGAGUGCUCGAGCGCGGGAGAGGAAAGCGGAAUUCCUGGUGUAGCGGUGAAAUGCGUAGAUAUCAGGAGGAACACCGGUGGUGAAGGCGGCUUUCUGGAACGCUGUUGACGAUGAGACUUGAAAGCGUGGGGAGCAAACAGG